AGAGCUCUGUGAAAAACAGAUUAAGAUGGGUGACAAAGCUGAAACUUUGGAGGCUGUGUUGAAGGAAGCUGUAGAUUUGGAGAACGUGCCAAUUGAAGAGGUUUUUCAAACUCUGAGGUGUAAUUCAAAUGGUCUCACUACAGAGGCUGCUGAGCAGAGACUUGCCAUUUUUGGAUAUAAUAAGCUUGAGGAAAAGCAGGAGAGCAAGAUUUUGAAGUUCUUGGGUUUUAUGUGGAACCCUCUUUCAUGGGUGAUGGAGGCAGCAGCUAUCAUGGCUAUUGCACUUGCCAAUGGAGGAGGGAAACCACCUGACUGGCAGGAUUUUGUUGGAAUUAUCACUUUGCUUCUCAUCAAUUCUACAAUUAGUUUUAUAGAGGAGAACAACGCUGGUAAUGCCGCUGCUGCUCUCAUGGCCCGUCUUGCUCCCAAAGCCAAGAUCCUUCGAGAUGGGACGUGGAUUGAGGAGGAUGCCUCCAUUCUUGUUCCUGGUGAUAUUAUCAGCAUUAAGCUUGGAGACAUCCUUCCUGCAGAUUCUCGUCUUCUUGAAGGUGAUCCAUUAAAAAUUGAUCAGUCUGCUCUUACUGGCGAGUCUCUUCCUGUGACAAAAGGACCUGGUGACAGUGUUUAUUCAGGUUCUACAUGCAAGCAAGGAGAGAUUGAAGCUGUGGUCAUUGCCACAGGGGUGCAUACAUUCUUUGGCAAGGCUGCCCAUCUCGUGGAUACGACAAAUCAAGUUGGACACUUUCAAAAGGUAUUGACUGCUAUUGGGAAUUUCUGUAUAUGCUCCAUAGCUGUGGGGAUGAUAAUAGAAAUAAUUGU
RNAcentral lists this unclassified non-coding RNA (819 nucleotides) under Hevea brasiliensis (rubber tree). The record is from RNAcentral. Lineage: Eukaryota; Viridiplantae; Streptophyta; Magnoliopsida; Malpighiales; Euphorbiaceae.